This 425-nucleotide ribosomal RNA is filed under the name uncultured bacterium. RNAcentral's name for it is "partial 16S ribosomal RNA". It matches the Rfam family "Bacterial small subunit ribosomal RNA", at positions 354 to 796 of the family's 1533-position model. The record is from RNAcentral.
GUGGGGAAUCUUGCGCAAUGGGCGAAAGCCUGACGCAGCCAUGCCGCGUGAAUGAUGAAGGUCUUAGGAUUGUAAAAUUCUUUCACCGGGGACGAUAAUGACGGUACCCGGAGAAGAAGCCCCGGCUAACUUCGUGCCAGCAGCCGCGGUAAUACGAAGGGGGCUAGCGUUGCUCGGAAUUACUGGGCGUCAAGGGCGCGUAGGCGGACAGUUUAGUCAGAGGUGAAAGCCCAGGGCUCAACCUUGGGAUUGCCUUUGAUACUGGCUGUCUUGAGUACUGGAGAGGUGAGUGGAACUCCGAGUGUAGAGGUGAAAUUCGUAGAUAUUCGGAAGAACACCAGUGGCGAAGGCGACUCACUGGCCCGUUACUGACGCUGAGGCGCGAAAGCGUGGGGAGCAAACAGGAUUAGAUACCCCUGUAGUCC